UAUACUCUGCUCUUCUCCCCCAAGGCCCUAACAUUCCACACACAUUCCAUGGUUGCCAGGAUGCCCUGCUUUAUUCAGCAUUACAUCACCAGAUGCUAGGAACAUAUCUGGAGUAGAGUGGACUUUUGUGAGAAGAAAUUCAGUAAACACAAUGCAUUUUAAUUGGGAAAAAAAUCAAGAAAUUACUUCAAAUGCCAGUAUUUGUACAAGAAAACUUGUUAAGAGUCUGCAGCAGUUCUCCUGAGAGCCCUUUACAAGCAUAUGGAGCAAGCCAUCCUUAGAGAAAGUGUGAAGAAGGAAGGGUAGCAGAGAAGAGGGGAAAAUGGGAACAAACCUCUGGAGCAUCUACACCCAAGGGCAGCCUUCAGACUUUAAAACCUAAUUAUAUAGACAGGCUUAGUAAAAACUUUUCAUAAAGUAUCAUAAAAGAGAAGCAGAAUCCUGCAGUGGAGGAAAGCAGAUGCCAGAAGAAAGUGGCCCUGUGCCCGAGUACCUGCCCGCCACACCCACCUGUGAUCUGGACAAGUUAUGUAACCUUUCAGAACCUAUUUCUUCUUCUGUAGACAAAUAGUAAUUGGAGAUUAAAAGAAAUAAGACUCUGAAGUUUGGCCCAGUGUAGUCACAGUCGAUUGCUAGUAAUAUUCAGAUUGAAUCCAGAGAAGUCAACUGCAGAGUUCAAUCGCGCAAUUGUGAUGAUACAAACGUAGCCUCCUUUAUGUUAAGGAUGGCGAUACUAGAUGGUCGUCUGAGGCGAUUGAGGCCUGCUCAUCACACUUGAGUGAGCUCGAAAGCUGACCCUUCAGUCCUGGUCAAGCCAGAUGAGAUGACUGCAGAGCUGGGAGACAGCUUGACUGCCGAGACCCUGGGCCAGAAUCGCUCAGCUAGGUGGCUCUAGGAUACGGGAACUUCAGAACCUGCACGAGAUAAGAAGUAUAUUAACCUGCUAAAUUUUGAUGAAUUUGUUCACAGCAAUAAAUAACAUACAGCUAGAGACUGAACGAGAACUAUUUUCUUGGCCAUACUAGUUAAGAAUAAGUAAAAAAGAACUUGAAGACUGAUGGUAGAAUUCACUUUGUG
RNAcentral lists this long non-coding RNA (1077 nucleotides) under Equus caballus (horse). Its description in RNAcentral is "lncRNA (ENSECAG00000044256.1)". The record is from RNAcentral. Lineage: Eukaryota; Metazoa; Chordata; Mammalia; Perissodactyla; Equidae.